AGCUUUGCACAGUGGCAGUAUCAUAUAUAGCCAAUGAGGUUUAUCUGAAGCACAAUUAUUGCUAAUUAAACACUAUCCCUAAAACCCCACCAUGAAGACUUAAAAGUGCUGUGAUUUUUUUUCAAUCACUAUAUGGA
Molecule: small nuclear RNA, 137 nt
Gene: U4
Rfam family: U4 spliceosomal RNA
About the family: U4 small nuclear RNA (U4 snRNA) is a component of the major U2-dependent spliceosome. The structure of U4 snRNA from yeast and human has been reported.
Source: Ensembl